AGUGAACGCUGGCGGUAGGCCUAACACAUGCAAGUCGAACGGCAGCACAGUAAGAGCUUGCUCUUACGGGUGGCGAGUGGCGGACGGGUGAGGAAUACAUCUGAAUCUACUUUUUCGUGGGGGAUAACGUAGGGAAACUUACGCUAAUACCGCAUACGACCUACGGGUGAAAGCAGGGGAUCUUCGGACCUUGCGCGAUUGAAUGAGCCGAUGUCGGAUUAGCUAGUUGGCGGGGUAGAGGCCCACCAAGGCGACGAUCCGUAGCUGGUCUGAGAGGAUGAUCAGCCACACUGGAACUGAGAAACGGUCCAGACUCCUACGGGAGGCAGCAGUGGGGAAUAUUGGACAAUGGGCGCAAGCCUGAUCCAGCCAUACCGCGUGGGUGAAGAAGGCCUUCGGGUUGUAAAGCCCUUUUGUUGGGAAAGAAAAGCAGCAGGUUAAUACCCCGCUGUUCUGACGGUACCCAAAGAAUAAGCACCGGCUAACUUCGUG
Molecule: ribosomal RNA, 492 nt
Filed under: uncultured bacterium
Lineage: Bacteria
Description: partial 16S ribosomal RNA
Rfam family: Bacterial small subunit ribosomal RNA
Source: RNAcentral